CCCACCUGGUGGACACUCCCCUAGGGGACCGAAUGGGGGACUGUGACAUACAUAAAAAUACAUAAAAUGACAUAACUGUUGCAUUUUACAAGAUUUUAUAGGCAUUCCACACGUCCCCAGAUAGCUAGGAUCUGAGCGCACCAAAGUACCGAAUAGCGUUCAGAUCCUAUACACACAGUCUAAUCGCCGUGGAGCCAAAGUGUUCACAUAGUCAGUUUUCAUACGAAUGGGCUCCACAGGAUUCCUAUCUGGGGUACGGUGUAUUCCGUUUAAAUCCACGAAUAUAGAGUCAUUCGUGUCAAUCUACCGAACAAGAAGGGAGGUCGGCGGCUUCAGCGGAGUUCGUGACAAAAUGUGUCAAUUUUUAGUUCCAUGAGUUAGGCGUCGAACACCGUUGUGUGUUUGUGUGUUUUAAAAUGGCCGCGACCUCGUGUUCGGCAUUCAAUUGGCGGCCACCCAACUGCUGUACCAAUUACGAGGUGUCUGCGGUUAAUCUUCAACGUUCGAAUGGGGCCAAGAGGUUAAUCAGCAGCACACUCCUCUACUUGGUGGCCGGCUGUUCGGUAGUUUUGUUCGGUCAUAAACAGGGGAAUGCCAUAGAGUCCACAGGAACGAGAAAAACAAAUUAAAUAAGUGAACAAGCCAUACGGUUGAUUCAGUCUAGGACAGAGUGAUCUGUCACAGAAGCCCAGGCCAACUCCUUGGUUUUGCACCCCUCCCUGUCACAGGUGCCUCAUUACAGGACCCUAUUUAGCCUUAACUUGCAGAGAGUCCCAGUAAGGAAGUAUUUCCCAAGUAAGUGGAUUAAUCUCAUAAGGGCAGGCAUUAGGCUGCUAGAGUAGGACCUGCCAAGAAUGGGGUACAUUGACGUUGUGGCAGGCUUAUGCAAUAUAUGACUGAGAGGCUACUAAAAUAAACUGGAUAUACCCCAUGUGUAAUACCCCCAUCAUGAGGGUAAUUUUCAUUCCUGGGCUACAAUUUGGUCUCAAAGGCAACAUAACCAGUCUGGCAAAUUUCAAUGUGUAUAAACUGAAAAAUGUAAUGUGCUAUAUUUGACCCGGUAACUUUCCAAAACACCAUAAAACCUGUACAUUGGGGGUACUGUUUUACUAGUGAGACAUCGGUGAAUACAAAUAUGUGUACUUUA
Molecule: non-coding RNA, 1147 nt
Organism: Pelobates cultripes (western spadefoot toad)
Lineage: Eukaryota; Metazoa; Chordata; Amphibia; Anura; Pelobatidae
Source: the annotation of a GenBank genome assembly